CAAUAAGCGGAGGAAAAGAAACUAACAAGGAUUCCCCUAGUAACUGCGAGUGAAGCGGGAAGAGCUCAAAUUUUAAAUCUGGCAGUCUCUUGGCUGUCCGAGUUGUAAUCUAGAGAAGCAUUUUCCGCGCUGGACCGUGUAUAAGUCUCCUGGAAGGGAGCGUCAUAGAGGGUGAGAAUCCCGUCUUUGACAUGGACUACCAGUGCUAUGUGAUGUGCUCUCGACGAGUCGAGUUGUUUGGGAAUGCAGCUCAAAAUGGGUGGUAAAUUCCAUCUAAAGCUAAAUACAGGCGAGAGACCGAUAGCGAACAAGUACCGUGAGGGAAAGAUGAAAAGAACUUUGGAAAGAGAGUUAAACAGUACGUGAAAUUGCUGAAAGGGAAACGCUUGAUGUCAGUCACGUUGGCUGGGGAUCAACCUUGCUUCUCGCUGGGUGUACUUCCCGGUCGAUGGGUCAGCAUCAGUUUUGGUUGCCGUACAAGGGCGAGGGGAAUGUGGCACUCCUCGGAGUGUGUUAUAGCCUUUUGUCGUAUGCGGUGGUCAGGACUGAGGAGCUCAGCAUGGCUUUGGCUUGUGCUUAGGAUGCUGGCAUAAUGGCCUUAAGCGACCCGUCUUGAAACACGGACCAAGGAGUCUAACAUGCCUGCGAGUGUUUGGGUGGCAAACCCGAGCGCGUAAUGAAAGUGAAAGUUGAGACCUCUGUCAUGGAGGGCAUCGACGCCCGGACCUGAGUCUUUGACGACGGAUCUGCGGUAAAGCAUGCAUGUUGGGACCCGAAAGAUGGUGAACUAUGCCUGAAUAGGGUGAAGCCAGAGGAAACUCUGGUGGAGGCUCGUAGCGAUUCUGACGUGCAAAUCGAUCGUCGAAUUUGGGUAUAGGGGCAAAGACUAAUCGAC
This 895-nucleotide ribosomal RNA is filed under the name Exsudoporus floridanus. RNAcentral describes it as "partial large subunit ribosomal RNA". It matches the Rfam family "Eukaryotic large subunit ribosomal RNA", at positions 44 to 940 of the family's 3401-position model. The record is from RNAcentral. Lineage: Eukaryota; Fungi; Basidiomycota; Agaricomycetes; Boletales; Boletaceae.